ACCUUUUGAGCUAUAUAUAUAUUCAGCAAUCAAGAGUGUUACAUUCCUUUACUAUAAUUUCUCGAAAAACCUAGAAAAUCUAACACAUAAACGAUUCCCUGGCGGCCCACCCCCUUUUUUUGAUUCCUUCAUGCACCGUCUGGACCUUGUGAAGCACAGUUGCUCAGUGGCAUGUUAAAUAUUAACUACCAACCUGGUAUAAAAGUGGUGUCCUUACGGCCGUAACAUUUGGAUAUACGUGCCAUUAGCCGCGGAGCUUGUUUUCAAUUUCUACCUUUUUUUCCCUGUCAAGUAAAACUUCUCCUUUCUGGAUAUAUUGUCAAGCAAUUGAUGUUAAACCGUUUCCCUUCACCCUAUUUUCCGUCUAUUAUACCAUUUAUUUAACGUUUCCAUUUUGCAUUGUGUCUCGGCAAGGUGGCUUCGGCUUCACAACUUCGCGAACAGCGAACGCCAUGUCUGCCUCGGGUACUUGGCUUUCACCACUAUGGGACUACCGAUAUACGUCCCCCACCCCCGAACAGCUCCGUGAGCGGCGCGAGCUCCUCACGUUACGUGGUCAAUAUGCUCAGCUAUCCACCUUGCUCCUGAUUUUGUUCUUCAGCGCCUAUAGAUUGUGCGCACGACGGAUCAGAAGCAGCGGCAGAGGCAAAAACCAAGAUGCCAAGUCAUCCUCAUUGCCAUUAUCAGUAUGGCUAGAUUCUCCACUCAUGCGCAGUGGGGCCGAGACGAGGAGACAGUAUCUCGUCGCGACGGUAUGGAUGGCGUGGUUGCUUGCGCUUUCGGCUUGGAGGACGGGUAAUGACUACCUUCACUUCACCAAAUCGUUGGGCCACACCGCCCUCGCCACAAUCCCCUUCAACCUUCUGCUCUCCCCCAAACUCUCCACAACAACCCACCCCUUCAACCUCGUCUGCUCCCACCUCCUCCACCUGCCUCAGACCCAUUUAACCCCCUACCAUCGCCUCUUCGGCCGGCUAGUCAUUCCCACGCUCAUCUCCCUGCACUCAGCGCUGUAUCUCAUGUUCUUCGUGGAAAAUGGGGUGCUGGAGAAGAGGCUCAAUGACCC
Molecule: small RNA, 1066 nt
Filed under: Histoplasma capsulatum var. duboisii H88
Lineage: Eukaryota; Fungi; Ascomycota; Eurotiomycetes; Onygenales; Ajellomycetaceae
Description: Histoplasma capsulatum H88 hypothetical RNA
Source: RNAcentral